CUUGGGGUGGUGGUACUUCUCGCCACUCCAUCUCUUGCUGAUUACUCUAAGCCACCGUUUUACGAACAUCCCAAGAUUGACAAGCCUUUCCCAAAGCCUCCCAAGAUUGAUAAGCCAUUCCCAAAGCCUCCCAAGAUUGACAAGCCAUUCCCAAAGCCUCCAGUUUACGAGCCUCCGAAGGUUGGCAAGCCAUUUCCCAAGCCUCCAAAGAUUGAGAAGCCAUUCCCAAAACCUCCCAAGAUUGAGAAGCCAUUCCCAAAGCCUCCCAAGAUUGACAAGCCAUAUCCAAAGCCUCCAGUUUAUGAGCCUCCCAAGAUCGACAAGCCAUUUCCAAAGCCUCCAGUUUACGAGCCUCCGAAGGUUGACAAGCCUUUUCCAAAGCCUCCCAAGAUUGACAAGCCAUUCCCUAAGCCUCCAAUCUACGAGCCUCCAAAGAUUGGGAAGCCUUUCCCAAAGCCACCGGUUUUCGAACACCCUAAAGUAGGGAAGCCAUUCCCAGAAC
RNAcentral lists this long non-coding RNA (502 nucleotides) under Citrus sinensis (sweet orange). RNAcentral describes it as "long non-coding RNA (CSIN_LNC003857)". The record is from RNAcentral. Lineage: Eukaryota; Viridiplantae; Streptophyta; Magnoliopsida; Sapindales; Rutaceae.